Ctenopharyngodon idella (grass carp) is the source of this 10143-nucleotide RNA transcript. It is a transcript of the gene named thrombospondin type-1 domain-containing protein 7A, with no coding region annotated. The transcript has 29 exons. Lineage: Eukaryota; Metazoa; Chordata; Actinopteri; Cypriniformes; Xenocyprididae. The record is from RefSeq and is a predicted model, not a curated record.
GAGGGGAGAUGCGGCGUCAGUCAGCUGCAGUAGGCAGAGGACAGCGGCAGCAGUGAGCAGCAGUGCCGGUAACUGUGGCUGCCGUUCUCUAUUGUUCAGCCAAAGCUUUCUGCUUUUCACUCCAGCCAACCAGAGGAGCAGAAGACGAGGAGAUCCGCCACAUGCACUGUUCCUUCGGGGAACACUAACUGAAGAGGCACGCAAACUCUUUCAGUCUGUGCGACUGAAGUUCUUUCUCUGCUCUCAUUGGGGUUUCUCUUCCUCCCGACCAAGUGGAUUUUACCCGAUUCAGGGGAGCCAUGGGACUUGGGGUUAGGGGUGCAAGGACAGCGUUCCUGUGUUUACGGAGGUUAUUUUUACUGCUCUGUGGAAUCUGGACCGUUUGCUCCCAAACGACAGGAGACGGGAAGUCGCUGUACUUCUGGGAAACAGGUCCAUGGGGAAGAUGUAUGGGCAGCGAGUGUGGUCCAGGCGGGAGUCAGAGUCGAGCGGUGUGGUGCGCUCAUGUGGAAGGCUGGACGACCCUUCACACAAACUGCCUUCAGGCCACACGGCCAGCCAACCAGCAGAGCUGUUUCCGCGUCUGCGACUGGCACAAGGACCUGUACGACUGGCGACUAGGCGCGUGGAACCAGUGCGUUCCCAUAUCACUGCGGACUGGCCGCACAGGUGUUUGCUUGCAGGGCGAAGAGGGCAUCCAGACGCGGGAGGUGAACUGUGCUCUCAGGGCGGAUGGCUCGGCGGCCGACGACGCCAUCUGUGAGUACUUUGAGCCCAAACCCCGGCAGGAACAGGCCUGUCUCAUCCCCUGCCCUCAAGACUGUGUGGUGACCGAGUUCACCCCCUGGACCACGUGCUCCAAGACCUGCGGGCUGGGCCUGCAGAACCGUGUCCGCUCCGUAGUGGCGCCACCACUUUUCGGUGGGCUUCCUUGCCCCAAUCUGACGGAGUUCCAGACGUGUGCGCCAAGGGCCUGCGAGGGCAGAGAGACAGUGUUCAGUCUGAGAGUGGGCGGCUGGAGCGAGUGCAAGCUGCCUUCUUUACCACCACCACCACCGGAGCCGACCUCCUCUGCCGCCCCCGCACGCACUAUACGCCAAGCCCGGCGGCGGAAAGGCAAAGAGAGGAAAGGAAACAGAGACCCGGAGAUGCGUGAGCUUAUCAAGAACAAAAGGAACCGCAACAGGCUGAAUCGACUAGAGAACGACCUCUGGAAUAUCGAAGUAGGCUACCAGUCUCGGCAAGUGGUUUGUGUACAUCGGAAUGGAAGUACGGUAUCACUCAGCCAGUGUCCCCACUGGAGUCUUCCGGAGACUUACCAGUCCUGCCUGAUGCCUAAAGACUGUGUGGUCAGUGAAUGGAGCAUGUGGGGCUCCUGCACCAAGACCUGCUCGGACCCCAGUGUUCCUCAGGGCACACGCUCCCGCAGCAGACAGCUGCUACGGCUUCCUACUGGAGGAGGGUCCGAAUGCCCCAACCUGGAGGAAAGUCAGACCUGUGAACCUGAAGGAAACGGGGUGCCACCCUGCGCUGCUUAUGCCUGGAGGACCACAGAAUGGAGUGAAUGUCGCGUUGACGCGCUCCUCAGCCAGCAGGACCGGCGGCGUGGGAAUCAGACUGGACUGUGUGGUGGAGGUGUGCAGAGCAGGGAAGUGUACUGUGUCCAGGCCAAUGCAGAACUUCUCAGUUACAUCAAUAACAACAAAGACAAACAAGAAGGUCAGUCUCCAAAUGGCCAGACGCCUAGUGUCCCUCCUCUCCUGUCUAUCACCUUUGAGAUCUCAGCAUCACAACCCGUAGACAUUCGGCUCUGCAAGGGAACGUCUCCAAGUACCACGCAGCUGUGUCACAUCCCGUGCCCUGUGGAGUGUGAACUGUCCCCGUGGGGCGCCUGGGGGCCCUGCACCUUUGAGAAUUGUGAUGAACGGGUUGUGAAGAAAGGUUUCAAGUUCAGACGACGUACAAUAACUAAUGACCCCACGGGUGGUGAGGGGAGCUGUCCUCACCUGGUGGAGGCCAUCCCGUGCGAUGAUCCCAGCUGUUUUAACUGGCAGCUGGUCAAGCUAGAGGAGUGUAUCCCUGAAGAAGACAUGGACUGCGGAGAGGGAACUCAGAUUCCACAGGUCCGCUGCGUCAACAAUGAAGGUACAGAGGUGGAGAGGGAGAUGUGUGCGGAUGAGGUCUACCCUGCAUCUGUGCCCUGUAUGGUUCCCUGCCCUAAAGACUGUGCUCUCAGUCUCUGGACUGAAUGGUCCACCUGCUCCCAGACCUGCUCCAGCAAAACCGCCGAGGGCAAGCAGAUGAGAACCAGAGCCAUUCUGGCUUACAAUGCAGGAGAAGGAGGUUCCAGCUGUCCGAACACCAGCGCCCUACAGGAGGUGCGGAACUGUAAUGAGCAUCCUUGCAUCGUGUAUCACUGGCAGACGGGCCCCUGGGGACAGUGCGUGGAGGACACCACCACAUCCACCCUCAAUACCUCCUCCAGCGCAGACAAGUCCACCUGCACAAUGGGCGUGCAAACGCGCAAGGUCAUCUGCGUAAAGGUCAAUGUCGGACAGGUGCCACCCAAAAAAUGUCCUGAAGCCCCUCGGCCAGAGUCAGUACGACCCUGUCUGCUGCCCUGUAAGAGAGACUGUAUAGUGACACCCUUCAGUGAAUGGACAGAGUGUCCCACAUCCUGUGAAGCAGGUGUGAACGGGCAGAAGAAUAAACAGUUUCGAUAUCGAGUGGUCAUCCAGAUGCCAGCUAAUGGAGGUCAGGAGUGUCCGGACGUCCUUUAUGAAGAGAAAGACUGUGCAACUCCAUCUGUCUGUCCGGGUUACAGGUGGAAAACACACAAGUGGCGUAAAUGUCAGCUGGUCCCAUGGAGCAUCCGCAGAGACAGUAAAGGAGCUCAGGAGAACUGUGGAGCUGGAGUCCAAACUAGAGCUAUCUCAUGUAGGCAGCUGGAUGGUACAGUGGCUGAUGUUGUGCAGUGUCUGAAGUUUGCCAGCAGUAUGCCUGUUAUGAGCCAGCCCUGCCAGUUACCGUGCCGAGACGACUGCCAGCUCUCCAACUGGUCCAAGUUCUCUCCUUGCAGCUCGGACUGCGUAGGGGUCCGUACACGAAGGAGAGCUCUCGUGGGAAAAAGCAAGAAGAAGGAUAAGUGUAAGAACAGCCAGAUGUACCCGCUGAGCGAGACCCAGUACUGCCCCUGCGACAAAUACAACGCCCAGCCGGUGGGCAACUGGUCUGACUGCAUCUUGCCCGAGGGCCGUGUGGAAAGCGCUGUGGGCAUGAAGGUCCAGGGAGACAUUAAGGAGUGUGGGCAGGGCUACCGGUUCCAGGCCAUGGUGUGCUACGACCAGGAUAACAGACUCGUGGAGACUUCACGCUGUAACAGUCAUGGGUAUAUCGAGGAGGCCUGCAUCGUCCCUUGCCCUUCUGAUUGUAAACUCAGUGAAUGGUCCAACUGGUCGCGCUGCAGCAAAUCCUGUGGCAGUGGGGUCAAAGUUCGCUCAAAAUGGCUCAGAGAAAAGCCUUACAAUGGAGGAAGACCCUGCCCAAAACUGGACCACCUUAACCAGGUAAACGUCUAUGAGGUGGUCCCGUGCGUCAGUGACUGCAGUCAGUAUAUUUGGGUAGCUGAACCCUGGAGCGUGUGGAAAGUAAGUAACGUGGAUCUGAAGGAGAACUGUGGCGAGGGCGUGCAAACAAGAAGAGUCAGGUGUAUGUUGAACACAGUGGACGGUCCCACUGACGCGGUUGAAGACUAUCUGUGUGAUCCAGAGGAGAUGCCACAGGGCACGAGGGAGAGCCGACUGCCCUGCCCGGAGGACUGUGUGCUGUCUGACUGGAGUCCCUGGACCCCAUGUGACCUGCCGUGUUCUGGAAGAGGAGAUCGGGAGAGGACGGCGUUUGCCCUGCGUCUGCCUAAAGAAGGAGAGGACUGUCCGGUUAGCAUGCAGACCGAGCCCUGCCUCCUGAACCGCAACUGCUUUCACUACAGUUACAACAUCACCGACUGGAGCACAUGCCAAUUAAGUGCCAAUGCUGUGUGUGGAAUCGGUCUCAAGACGAGGAUGCUGGACUGCGUUAGAAGUGACAGAAAAUCAGUUGACCUGAAGUACUGCGAAGAGCUGCGCUUAGAGAAGAAAUGGCAGAUGAAUGCUUCCUGCACAGUGGAGUGUCCAAUCAACUGCCAGCUCUCUGAUUGGUCAGCAUGGUCAGACUGCUCCCAGACCUGUGGCCUUGAAGGGAAGAUGUGGCGGAGACGGACUGUGGUUCAGGCGUCUCAAGGGGACGGCAGGCCGUGUCCGUCUCAGAUGGAGCAGUGGAAACCGUGUCCUGUGCGACCCUGCUACAGAUGGCAGUACGGCCCGUGGUCAGAGUGCCGUGUUGAGGAGGUGGUGUGCGGGGUGGGCCUGCGUUUCCGGAACCUGUCGUGCUUUGUAUCAGACGGCUCCAGUGAUGGGAAGAGCAGCAUUGUAGAGGAAGAUCUCUGUGCUGGAUUGGAGCAGGCCGUCGACGGAGAUAAGAAGAUUGUUCUGGAGGAGACCUGCACCUUACCCUGCCCUGGUGACUGUUACCUGAUGGAGUGGUCCGACUGGAGCCAGUGUCAGAGAGUGUGUGUGAAGGGUCAGCGUUUGGACUUCACUCCGGUUCAGGUCCGCUCACGUGCCGUCAUCGCGCAAGAACCGGAAAACAUCGCUCAGUGUCCGGAUCAGGAGUGGCAGUCCCGCCCCUGCAGCAAUGGUGAAUGUUAUGAGUACCAGUGGAUGGGCGGUCCUCAGCUGAUCUGGUGUCAGCGCUCGGAUGGAAUAAACGUCACAGGUGGAUGCCCUCCAGCACUACUGCCAGGGGCGGACCAGUCAUGUGAUCCACUUUGUGACAAACCACAGUCAUUCUGCUCAGAGGAGGGCGUAUGUAUGUGCGAGGAGGGCUAUACCGAGGUCCUGACGGCCGAGGGGAUGCUGGAGCAAUGUACACCCAUCCCUGUGCUCGAAAUCCCUACCGCAGGGGACAAAAAAGCCGAUGUGAAGACCAGCCGGGCCAUCAACCCCACCCUGCCCACCACGGUGCAGCCUGGCCGUGUGGGACGUACAUGGUACUUGCAACCCUUUGGACCAGACGGAACGCUGAAGACGUGGGUGUACGGAGUGGCGGCAGGUGUUUUUGUCCUCCUGGUAUUUAUAGUGUCAAUGAUUUACCUCGCAUGCAGUUACUGUGCCAUCCGGCGGUCGCUCGGGACGCCAGAUUCUGCCAAUGGUACGGUGGUAUGGAUGGGCCAAGACGCCCAUGAACUGACGUACACCUGCCCUGAGUGCCAGCAGCCAAGUCAAGAGUCAAGAGCCAGUUAAAGGCCGGAGAAACAGGCUCCUGAUCUCCUGACAUCUCAGCCCCCUCUGCCUAGUGCCUCGGCCUCAGUCUGUGCCUUACGUUCUGAUGCUCAAAGCAUCGAGCUGCCCGGCAAAAAGCCAAAGAAACCUCAGCGAAGACAAAACAAUAAUCGACUGAAACCCCUGACCCUGGCGUAUGAUGGCGACGCGGACAUGUAGCCUUUCCCGGAGAACUAACAUCAUGAAAACGUCAUCAACAUUCUGAAAAUGGCUGAAUCUCACUAAAACAUGCCCAGGUCACAUUAUACCCCAAUAUUAAAAGAAAAAAAAAGUAAGUAAUGAUAUUUUUGAUGAAAAGAAACUAAGGCUAUUUUAGCAUCUUUAAGAUUUUGUACAUCGUGAUAUUAUGAAAAUGAGAUUAUUGCAUUAUUCAUGACAAUGAAGCACAUUACUUCCUAAAUUGUUUUUUUACUGUAAACAAUUGAAUUACAAUUGUAAUUCUUAGUAUUGUCAAUAUUCUAAUUAAUCUUCUUUUUAUUUAAAUCAGAACAAGUUAAAGGCAAUAUAACUAAUAUUACCAUGAUGUAUUAAUACUUAUUUAUUGAAAUAUCAUAAAUAUAUGAGAGUUUUUACAUUACAAUAAUAAGAAUUUGGGGUAAAUGUGCUUAAUUGUUAAGAAAAUAAUGUCACAAUGCAAACAGUCUUUAUAGUCAAGUCACCUUUAAUUUUAUAGUGCUUUAUACAAUAGAACUAUUCUAUUGUAGUUCUAUUAUUCAGUAGAACUACAUUUCAAAGCAGCUCCACAGUAAUAAACAGGAAAGUAACAGAAUUAAUGAUGCAAACUUCAUCAAAUAUGACCGAUUCAAAUUCUGCUGUAAAGCAGCUGUACCAGGAUAAUAGAGUCAUUCAUUAUUGAGCUCAGUUCAGUUCAGUGUUGAUUCAAUUCAGUUCAAUAACUGUGUAAAGUUCAUUCAUUAUGAAACAAGUUCAGUUUUGCUGUGAAGCGGCUCUACUGUCGUUAUUCGAUAGUGUCAAAAAAGUCCUAAAUAGUCCUAAAAUAAGGCUUCAUUAUUUGUUUAUGAAAAAUAUAAUUUCUUAUUUUUAUUACCGUUUGUUUUUGGGGUGACGUAUGACCUCGUCAUGUUUUAUGAGAUACACCAAAAUACUCCUCCAAAUGAGAAAUGCCUAACCAUGACAAAUACUGGACUCUCAUUGCUUGAAUCCAACUUGGAAGAAGAAACAUCCAAGAGCCGCAAAAGAAAACCUUCGUACUUUGUUUGUACUUCCCAUUGUUGUUCUGGAAGAGCCUUUAUCUGCAUAUGCUGUGAGAUCAUGCCUUUGUUUAUCUUCAGUUCCUUAGAAAGUAUUUGUCAAUUAUGCAACUGCGGUCAAGCUAGUGGUCUUCUACGACUGGUCGGACUUCUCUCUAGGACCUUAUCGGAACAACGUUCUUCCGACUUGUGCUUCCCAGCUGAGAGGAUUCAUUUUUUUGGAGGGAGUUAUUUAAUAGACAAUGCCAAAACAUACAGUACAAACACACAGUAGAGAACUUCAGAUAUCACCUACAUCAUGGACAACAUUUGCUCACAGAAGAUGCAGCCUUUCUAUGGAAGGUGAAAACAAGACAAAUCAUGUUCUCCUGGAAGUCCCACUCUGAUUCCAGGUGUUAUUUUGCACUAUAUUAGUGCAGCAAGGAAGGCAUUCGCCAUUGAACAAUGAAUCUGGAGCACAUCAAUGAAGCGGGAUAACUGGGAAAGUGUAAAAAUAAAUCUCAGAGUGGGACUCUUUAAAGACCUCACGUCCUUUUAUUUUCACUCAUUUGUGCAUUGUAUAGUUUCUACUGUAUGAUGUGUCUUUUCUGCUCAACAGACUUUAAAUAUGUAUUUUUUGUUAUAGUUUUCCAUUCAGGCAUUUUUAUAUAAUAAUUAGUUGGUAUACAGUUGUUGGGGAAAAGUGGUUGUGACAGUAUUAUGACUUUUGAUUGGGGGAUUGUGCCCCAUCUUUAGUGUCUAGUAUCUGAUUACAUGAAUGAUGUACGUGUCAAGAAAAUGGGUCUCAUGGGAAGACCGAUAGUUUCUGCCUUAUUAUUGAUUAAAAAAUGUGGAAGUUUUGUUACUAAUUGUUGCCAAUUCUCACAGGACAGUGGUCAUGCAAAAUACAGUGGCUCUACAAAGUAUUUGGACACUUGAGAAACUUUAAAAUGUCUGAAUGUAAUUGCAUUAGAUAUAACCGGUUGCAUUUCGGAAACAAGUUGCAGCUAAAGAACAGACUAAAAUAUUCUGAUGGUGUUUCUGACAAUAUUAUUUUACACCACCAAUGUCAGAAAUUUUAUGAGGUGAAUCAAAAACAUACAACCUGUCCGGUGUAGUCUAAUUCCCAAACUAUUGACUCUUAUGAACCUGUAUUUUACACUGAAUCAGAAACAUACAACCAGUCCAGCGUAGUCCGAAUCCCAAACUAUUGACUCUUAUGAACCUGUAUUUUAAACUGAAUCUAAAAUAUACAACCUGUCCGGUGCAGUCCGAUUCCCAAACUAUUGACUCUUAUGAACCUGUAUUUUAUACUGAAUCAAAAACAUACUGCACGACCAGUGUAUUCUGAUUCCUAAAUGAUUAUAGGAGCCAGUUCUUUUUAGUGAAUCAAAAAUAUACAACCAGUCCUGUGUAGUCCAAUUCCCAAAUGGUUGACUCUUCUGAACCUGUAUUUUAUACUGAAUCAGAAACAUACGACCAGUCCAGCGUAGUCCGAAUCCCAAACUAUUGACUCUUAUGAACCUGUAUUUUAAACUGAAUCAAAAAUAUACAACCUGUCCGGUGUAGUCCAAUUCCCAAACUAUUGACUCUUAUGAACCUGUAUUUUAAACUGAAUCAAAAAUAUACAACCUGUCCGGUGCAGUCCGAUUCCCAAACUAUUGACUCUUAUGAACCUGUAUUUUAUACUGAAUCAAAAAUAUACAACCUGUCCGGUGUAGUCCGAUUCCCAAACUAUUGACUCUUAUGAACCUGUAUUUUAUACUAAAUCAAAAACAUACUGCACGACCAGUGUAUUCUGAUUCCUAAAUGAUUAUAGGAGCCAGUUCUUUUUAGUGAAUCAAAAAUAUACAACCAGUCCGGUGUAGUCCGAUUCAUGAACUAUUGACUCUUCUGAACCUGUAUUUUAUACUGAAUCAGAAACAUACGACCAGUCCAGCGUAGUCCGAAUCCCAAACUAUUGACUCUUACGAACCUGUAUUUUAAACUGAAUCAAAAAUAUACAACCUGUCCGGUGUAGUCUGAAUCCCAAACUAUUGACUCUUAUGAACCUGUAUUUUAAACUGAAUCAAAAAUAUAUAACCUGUCCGGUGUAGUCCGAUUCCCAAACUAUUGACUCUUAUGAACCUGUAUUUUAUACUGAUUUAAAAACAUACUGCAUGACCAGUGUAGUCUGACUCCCAAAUGAUUGACUCUUAUGAACCAGUUCUUUUUAGUGAAUCAAAUCAUACAACCACUCAAGUCUAGUCCGAUUCAUGAGCUAUUGACUCUUUUGAACCUGUAUUUUAUGCUGAAUCAUAAACAUACUGCAUGACCAGUGUAGUCUGAUUCCCAAAUGAUUGACUCUUAUGAACCAGUUCUUUUUAGUGAAUCAAAUCAUACAACCACUGAAGUCUAGUCUGAUUCAUGAACUAUUGACUCUUUUGAACCUGUAUUUUAUGCUGAAUCAUAAACAUACUGCGUGACCAGUGUAGUCUGAUUCCCAAAUGAUUGACUCUUAUGAACCAGUUCUUUUUAGUGAAUCAAAAACAUACAGCUCGACAAGUGUAGUGCGAUUCCUGAAUGAUUGACUCUAAUGAACAAGUUCUUUAUAGUGAAUCCAAAACAUAGGACCUUUCCGGUGUAGUCUGAUUCCUGAACUAUUGACUCUUUUGAACCUGUAUUUCAUACUGAAUCAAAAACAUACUGCACGACCAGUGUAGUCUAAUUCCCAAAUGAUUGACUCUUAUGAACAAGUACUUUUUAGUGAAUCAAAAACAUACAACCAGUCCGUUGUAGUCCGAUUCAUGAACUAUUGACUUUUAUGAACCUGUAUAGUCCAAUUCCUGAGUGACGCAUUUGAGCAAAUGCGUCUGUACAUUAAGUGUGGCUUAAAUGUGCAAAUACUUUCUGGGGUCACUGUACAUGUGUAGCACUUUUCUUGGAUCUGAUAUAUAUUUUAUUGUAUAAUAUUAUGGCAUCAUAAAUAUAGUCACAAUUUGAGCUGUCUCUUCACACUUGCAAAAAAAUAUACAAAGCCAUCAAAUCAUUCGGGUACGGUUUUUGAUGUUUUAUUAUUCAGCCGAUUUUUAAAUAGUAAUCAAUUUACAUAUCCAUGAAUUAUUAUUAAUUCCCCUAAAAUGCAGUGAAAAGAAAAUAGUGUAUAAAAUCUUAAGCAUUCAUGAAAAUUGAUUUAUUUUGAAUUUAACAUAUUGUAUGGAAACAACAGCGUGAAUAUGAUAUUCCUAAGAUGUAUUAGUCUAUGAAUCCUGCUGAAAUCUUCCAUUCAGAUAGUAGUUAUAGAAGAUGCUUUUUAUUGGUCAACUUUCCUCAUUUCCCCUCAUUCAUUUACGCUGCUACAUUAGAGUCGUUUCACCUGGCCGUCCUGCUAGCAGCUGGUGAAAUGAAUGUUUAGUAUAAUUUGUAAAUAAUAAUGAGUAUUAAAUCAUAUCUUUUAUAUUGCACAGAAAUGUUUAGUACAUUGCAAAGUGGUCUCGCUGAUCUUUGUUGAUUAUGGUCAUGUUGUAAAGUCUUUUUUUGUACAGCUUAUGUUUUCUGAUGACCUACAGGUAAUAAAUACUGGUGUAUUAAACAUG